RNAcentral lists this ribosomal RNA (155 nucleotides) under uncultured bacterium. RNAcentral describes it as "partial 16S ribosomal RNA". It matches the Rfam family "Bacterial small subunit ribosomal RNA", at positions 338 to 496 of the family's 1533-position model. The record is from RNAcentral.
CCUACGGGAGGCAGCAGUAGGGAAUCUUCGGCAAUGGGCGAAAGCCUGACCGAGCAACGCCGCGUGAGCGAUGAAGGCCUUCGGGUCGUAAAGCUCUGUUGUUAGAGAAGAACAAGUACGAGAGUAACUGCUCGUACCUGACGUACUACCAGAAG